RNAcentral lists this ribosomal RNA (254 nucleotides) under uncultured bacterium. Its description in RNAcentral is "partial 16S ribosomal RNA". It matches the Rfam family "Bacterial small subunit ribosomal RNA", at positions 524 to 776 of the family's 1533-position model. The record is from RNAcentral.
CACGUAGGGGGCGAGCGUUGUCCGGAUUUAUUGGGCGUAAAGAGCUCGUAGGCGGCUCAGUAAGUCGGGUGUGAAAACUCCAGGCUCAACCUGGAGACGCCACCUGAUACUGCUGUGGCUAGAGUCCGGUAGGGGAGCAUGGAAUUCCUGGUGUAGCGGUGAAAUGCGCAGAUAUCAGGAGGAACACCAGUGGCGAAGGCGGUGCUCUGGGCCGGAACUGACGCUGAGGCACGAAAGCGUGGGGAGCAAACAGG